Molecule: ribosomal RNA, 1465 nt
Filed under: uncultured bacterium
Lineage: Bacteria
Description: partial 16S ribosomal RNA
Rfam family: Bacterial small subunit ribosomal RNA
Source: RNAcentral
AGAGUUUGAUCAUGGCUCAGAACGAACGCUGGCGGCAGGCCUAACACAUGCAAGUCGAACGCCCUAGCAAUAGGGAGUGGCGCACGGGUGAGUAACGCGUGGGAAUGUACCCUUGGGUGCGGAACAACAUUGGGAAACCGAUGCUAAUACCGCAUAAUAUCUACGGAUCAAAGAUUUAUCGCCCAAGGAUCAGCCCGCGUAAGAUUAGGUAGUUGGUGGGGUAAUGGCCUACCAAGCCUACGAUCUUUAGCUGGUCUUAGAGGAUGAUCAGCCACACUGGGACUGAGACACGGUCCAGACUCCUACGGGAGGCAGCAGUGGGGAAUUUUGCGCGAUGGGCGAAAGCCUGACGCAGCAACGCCGCGUGUGUGACGAAGGCCCUUGGGUUGUAAAGCACUGUGGGCAGGGAAGAAAAAACGGGGGUUGUACCCCGUCUUGACGGUACCUGUUUAGAAAGCACCGGCUAACUCCGUGCCAGCAGCCGCGGUAAUACGGAGGGUGCAAGCGUUGUUCGGAAUUAUUGGGCGUAAAGGGCGUGUAGGUGGCUUACCAAGUCUGGUGUGAAAUCCCACGGCUCAACCGUGGAACUGCAUUGGAAAUUGGUGAGCUCGAGUAUUGGAGGGGGUCGCGGAAUUCCCGGUGUAGAGGUGAAAUUCGUAGAUAUCGGGAGGAACACCAGUGGCGAAGGCGGCGACCUGGCCAUUUACUGACACUGAGACGCGAAAGCGUGGGGAGCAAACAGGAUUAGAUACCCUGGUAGUCCACGCCGUAAACGAUGGAUGCUAGCCGUCGGGGAGCUUGCUCUUCGGUGGCGCAGCUAACGCAUUAAGCAUCCCGCCUGGGGAGUACGGUCGCAAGAUUAAAACUCAAAGGAAUUGACGGGGACCCGCACAAGCGGUGGAUGAUGUGGAUUAAUUCGAUGCAACGCGAAAAACCUUACCUACCCUUGACAUGUCCGGAAUCCUGCAGAGAUGCGGGAGUGCCCGAAAGGGAAUCGGAACACAGGUGCUGCAUGGCUGUCGUCAGCUCGUGUCGUGAGAUGUUGGGUUAAGUCCCGCAACGAGCGCAACCCUUAUCAUUAGUUGCUACGCAAGGGCACUCUAAUGAGACUGCCGGUGACAAACCGGAGGAAGGUGGGGAUGACGUCAAGUCCUCAUGGCCCUUAUGGGUAGGGCUUCACACGUCAUACAAUGGUCGGUACAGAGGGUUGCCAAGCCGCGAGGUGGAGCCAAUCCCAGAAAGCCGAUCGUAGUCCGGAUUGUUCUCUGCAACUCGAGAGCAUGAAGUCGGAAUCGCUAGUAAUCGCGGAUCAGCAUGUCGCGGUGAAUACGUUCCCGGGUCUUGUACACACCGCCCGUCACACCAUGGGAGUGGAAUCUGCCAGAAGUAGGUAGCCUAACCGCAAGGGGGGCGCUUACCACGGUGGGUUUCAUGACUGGGGUGAAGUCGUAACAAGGUAACCGUA